RNAcentral lists this long non-coding RNA (1844 nucleotides) under Homo sapiens (human). RNAcentral's name for it is "PREDICTED lncRNA (TCONS_00218611)". The record is from RNAcentral. Lineage: Eukaryota; Metazoa; Chordata; Mammalia; Primates; Hominidae.
CUGCAACUGAGCACCUUUUCUGCAGAAAGUAAAGACAGCCUUGCUAAGAGAUCAUUUGUCUCCAAGCUGACUUUUCUUUGCAGCACCGAUUAUCUAUUUCUAACAAUUUUGGGGGCUCGUCCAGGAUUACAGUCUCCUCUAGGGUGGGUCUCCAGUCCUCUCUUGUGAGAAGGCAUGCCCCACUACCUCGUUUUUGGCAGCCUCAGGGGUGAGGAACCGAGAUCCACCCAGUGUGAUGAAUAAACUGGGACUCUCAGCAACGUGGAAAGAAACUGGCUAGCAACGUAGGGUAAAGGAUCCUCACAUACUGCGGUAAUGACUCUGCACAGACCAAGGAAGGAGAAACCAUGGGAGCUGAGGCGUAUUGCUACAUUUGGGGCAAUGCGUACAUAUGUGGUUUCGUUAGCUCCAGCGGGGGCUAAUCCUCUGACAGAGCCACCUCUCACACGAAACACUGAAUGGAGGCGAUCCCGAGAUGGAUGGAGCAGCAGCAGCGCAGGUUGCUGCAGCUGUGCUGCCAGAGAUUGUAAUUCAGGAACCAAUCUCAAGCUGAGCAGAGGAAAAAAUGAGAUGCUUCAUGAAAAUGGCCAAAUGUCAUCACCAGCUAUUUUGUGAGAAGAGCUAUGUUAGGAGCCAUCCACAUGUAAAAUGGACUUUCACCAAAUUCCAUCCAUCUGCCGGUCAUGGAAGCUCACAACAUGUAUGUCUCCUGAGGGAGCCUUUUCGUUUUGUGCUUUUUCUGGCACUAAGAAAUACAGACACUUGUGAUUUACUACUGGGCACUUAUAGGAAUGGAGUCAACUAUUUCCUAAGAAACUCAAAGACUGAAAUGAGAAAUUCAGAAAAUAAAAAUAUUUUCUGUGUUAGAAAACUAUAUACCAGAAAGCCUGAAAAGUGAGGCAAAGGGCACGAAAUUCUGGUUAAUAAGAUGUUGUAGAUUAGUGAGAACUUGAAAAUGUUUUUGCUUCUAGUAUAUUUUUUGGAAUUUCUAAACUAUAUUAGCUCCCUUUCUUACCUUAGGAAUUACAGUAUUGUGAUCAUGUGAGAAGAUAGUUCUAAAUAUUAAUAAAUAUUUUUAACUUCAUCAAAUACGUCUUUGAAGAUUUCGUGUUUUGAUGUUUGAGGUCAUAGUACCAUAACAUAGAGCAGGGAUGCAGCAUUGAAGAAUUAAAGGGCGCCAAGUUAGAAAUCUAAGAAUCCAACUUUAUCAUUUAUCAAUUCCAUACCCUCGAGCCAGUCAUUUAACCUCCAAAGUUUCAGGUACUUUAGCUGUAAAAUAAAUGGAAAAGGAUAUCUCUACCAUGUUACACUCUGUAUUCCUACCCAGCUCAAAAACAGGAACUUACUAAUACUUCUCACCACACAGGCAAGUCUUUGGGACUGCUGUGAUUUGGUUAUUUGUUUGUCCUCACCCAAAGCUCAUGUUGAAAUUUGAUCCCCAAUUUGUGGUGGUGUGGUUGGGCCUAGUGGAAGAUAUUUGGGUCCUGGGGGCAGAUUCUUCAUGAAAGGCUUGGUGCUAUCCUCCAGGUAAUGAGUGUGCGUUCUCCUUCUGGCUAGACAGAAUUAGUCCUCAUGGGAAUGGGUUAUUUCCCUUGAGCAUGGGUUGUUAUAAAGAAAGAGAGGUCCCACUUCCUGUUUGGUCCCACUUCAUACAUGCCUGCUUCCCCUUUGACUUCCUAGGCCAUGUUUUGAUGCAGCACAAAAGCCCUCACCAGAAGCCAAGCAGAUGCUGGUGCCAUGCUUCUUGUACAACCUGCAGCACUAUGAGCCAAUUAAGCCUCUUUUCUUUAUGAACUGUCCAGCCUCAGGCAUCCCUUUACAGCACCCCAAAUGGGUUAAGACAG